CAUUGUGUAGUUUACACAGACCAUGCUGCAAUCAGAUAUUUACUCAGCAAGAAAGAAGCUAAGCCAAGGUUAAUUAGAUGGAUACUCCUGCUUCAAGAAUUUGAUGUGGAAAUCAAGGACAAGAAAGGAGCUGAAAAUGUUGUGGCAGAUCACUUGUCGAGAUUGCAAAACAAUGCAGUAGACUCCUUACCCAUCAAUGAUGUUUCACCAGGGAGCAAUCUUAUGAAAGUGACUAGUAUACAAAACUAUACACCAUGGUAUGCAGAUAUAGUUAAUUAUCUGUUCUGUAAAAAAGUUCCUACAGAUUUUGGGUAUCAGAAGAAGAAGAAAUUCCUAUCAGAUAUGAAGCAUUUCCUUUGGGAUGAACCUUACUUGUUCAAGCAUUGUGAUGAUGGUAUUGUUCGAAGAUGCUUGCCGGAAAGUGAAACUAAAAGUGUGAUUUAUCAUUGCCAUUCAUCCCCUUAUGGAGGUCAUGCAAGUACUCGAAAGACUCAAGCAAAAAUUUUGCAAGCAGGAUUUUAUUGGCCAACUUUAUUCAAGGAUGUGCAUUCCUUUCUUGAAGCUUGUGAUCCUUGUCAGAGAACUGGAAAGAUUUCAAAAAGGCAAGAGAUGCCUCAAAAAGGAAUUCUUGAAGUAGAGCUCUUUGAUGUAUGGGGAAUUGAUUAUGUUGGACCCUUGCCAUCAUCAAAAGGGUACAAAUACAUAUUGGUGGCA
Molecule: ribosomal RNA, 714 nt
Filed under: Triticum aestivum (bread wheat)
Lineage: Eukaryota; Viridiplantae; Streptophyta; Magnoliopsida; Poales; Poaceae
Description: partial small subunit ribosomal RNA
Source: RNAcentral